Molecule: transfer RNA, 90 nt
Filed under: Luteolibacter sp.
Lineage: Bacteria; Pseudomonadati; Verrucomicrobiota; Verrucomicrobiia; Verrucomicrobiales; Verrucomicrobiaceae
Also listed under: 2 other names
Description: tRNA-Ser
Rfam family: tRNA
About the family: Transfer RNA (tRNA) molecules are approximately 80 nucleotides in length. Their secondary structure includes four short double-helical elements and three loops (D, anti-codon, and T loops).
Source: RNAcentral
GGGCAGGUGUCAGAGUGGUCGAAUGAGCACGCUUGGAAAGCGUGUGUGGCGGUAACGUCACCGAGGGUUCGAAUCCCUCCCUGUCCGCCA